AAAUUGAAGAGUUUGAUCAUGGCUCAGAUUGAACGCUGGCGGCAGGCCUAACACAUGCAAGUCGAACGGUAACAGGAAACAGCUUGCUGUUUCGCUGACGAGUGGCGGACGGGUGAGUAAUGUCUGGGAAACUGCCUGAUGGAGGGGGAUAACUACUGGAAACGGUAGCUAAUACCGCAUAACGUCGCAAGACCAAAGAGGGGGACCUUCGGGCCUCUUGCCAUCGGAUGUGCCCAGAUGGGAUUAGCUAGUAGGUGGGGUAAAGGCUCACCUAGGCGACGAUCCCUAGCUGGUCUGAGAGGAUGACCAGCCACACUGGAACUGAGACAC
Molecule: ribosomal RNA, 330 nt
Filed under: Escherichia coli
Lineage: Bacteria; Pseudomonadati; Pseudomonadota; Gammaproteobacteria; Enterobacterales; Enterobacteriaceae
Description: bacterial SSU rRNA
Rfam family: Bacterial small subunit ribosomal RNA
Source: RNAcentral